ACCUGGGUGGCUCAGUCAGUUAAGCAUCUGACUUCGACUCAGGGCAUGAUCUCAUGGCUUGUGGGUUCAAGCCCCGCAUCAGGCU
Molecule: transfer RNA, 85 nt
Filed under: Felis catus (domestic cat)
Lineage: Eukaryota; Metazoa; Chordata; Mammalia; Carnivora; Felidae
Rfam family: tRNA
About the family: Transfer RNA (tRNA) molecules are approximately 80 nucleotides in length.
Source: Rfam by way of RNAcentral